UACGUAGGGUGCAAGCGUUGUCCGGAAUUAUUGGGCGUAAAGAGCUCGUAGGCGGUCUGUCGCGUCUGCUGUGAAAACUCAGGGCUUAACCCUGAGCUUGCAGUGGGUACGGGCAGACUAGAGUGCGGUAGGGGAGACUGGAAUUCCUGGUGUAGCGGUGAAAUGCGCAGAUAUCAGGAGGAACACCGGUGGCGAAGGCGGGUCUCUGGGCCGUAACUGACGCUGAGGAGCGAAAGCGUGGGGAGCGAUCCGG
RNAcentral lists this ribosomal RNA (253 nucleotides) under uncultured bacterium. RNAcentral describes it as "partial 16S ribosomal RNA". It matches the Rfam family "Bacterial small subunit ribosomal RNA", at positions 524 to 776 of the family's 1533-position model. The record is from RNAcentral.